Molecule: ribosomal RNA, 312 nt
Filed under: Salmonella enterica
Lineage: Bacteria; Pseudomonadati; Pseudomonadota; Gammaproteobacteria; Enterobacterales; Enterobacteriaceae
Also listed under: 1 other name
Description: partial 23S ribosomal RNA
Rfam family: Bacterial large subunit ribosomal RNA
Source: RNAcentral
CUCGUGAAUUCAUCUCCGGGGGUAGAGCACUGUUUCGGCUAGGGGGCCAUCCCGGCUUACCAACCCGAUGCAAACUGCGAAUACCGGAGAAUGUUAUCACGGGAGACACACGGCGGGUGCUAACGUCCGUCGUGAAGAGGGAAACAACCCAGACCGCCAGCUAAGGUCCCAAAGUCAUGGUUAAGUGGGAAACGAUGUGGGAAGGCCCAGACAGCCAGGAUGUUGGCUUAGAAGCAGCCAUCAUUUAAAGAAAGCGUAAUAGCUCACUGGUCGAGUCGGCCUGCGCGGAAGAUGUAACGGGGCUAAACCAUG